Molecule: ribosomal RNA, 495 nt
Filed under: uncultured bacterium
Lineage: Bacteria
Description: partial 16S ribosomal RNA
Rfam family: Bacterial small subunit ribosomal RNA
Source: RNAcentral
GAUGAACGCUGGCGGCGUGCCUAAUACAUGCAAGUAGAACGCUGAAGGAGGAGCUUGCUCUUCUGGAUGAGUUGCGAACGGGUGAGUAACGCGUAGGUAACCUGCCUGGUAGCGGGGGAUAACUAUUGGAAACGAUAGCUAAUACCGCAUGACAACAGUUAUUGCAUGAUAACUGUUUAAAAGGGGCAACUGCUCCACUACCAGAUGGACCUGCGUUGUAUUAGCUAGUUGGUGAGGUAACGGCUCACCAAGGCGACGAUACAUAGCCGACCGGAGAGGGGGAGUGGCCAGCCUGGGAGUGUGACAGGGCCCAGACGCCUACGGGAGGCAGCAGUAGGGAAUCGUCGGCAAUGGGCGGAAGUCAGACCGAGCAACGCCGAGGGAGGGAAGAAGGUUUUCGGAUCGUAAAUCUCGGUUUUAAGGGAAGAACGAGUGUGAGAGUGUAAAGUACACACUGUGACGGUAACGGACCAGAAAGGAACGGCUAACUACGUG